Bactrocera neohumeralis is the source of this 1007-nucleotide long non-coding RNA. RefSeq lists it as uncharacterized. The transcript has 2 exons. The record is from RefSeq and is a predicted model, not a curated record. NCBI's taxonomy places the organism in Eukaryota, Metazoa, Arthropoda, Insecta, Diptera, Tephritidae.
UCAGUAGUUGGCAUUGUUGGUUGGUUGGCUGCUGAUAUUGGAGAGCCGAGGCCUACUAGUAGUCGCUCCGCCGAGGAGCCACAAUAGCAUUCGUUUGGAGCACCGGCAUUCGAAUUUGUUUUUGUAUAUUAUUCGCAUCACUCAGCGCCGCCAGCGAAUUCCAAUGCCGUGAGAGUUUGCGAGAGAUUUUUGCUAAGCUCGAGUGUAUUUUUUAUGCUCACAGCACAUUAGUGCUUUGUUUGUAUAGUUACGUAUGUGCAGUUGCGGCGAGUAUUGCGAAAAGGCGCGAGUCCAAAAGCCAAUGUACGGAAAACAUCUUCGUUCGCAUACGUAGUGUGGUCGGUAGGAAAUUUUUGCAGCUAGUCACUUGCCAAUAAGUGAUAUUUGUGGUUGAGUGUGGAAAAGUGAAGUAAAUGUAUUGAAGUUAGUUAAUGCAAACUGUUACUUUUUACUACGAAAAGGGAAUACAUAUUUUGCCAGGAAGAUGGUAACACCCAAAAAGAGACGUCGGAAGAAAGUUGGAUCCACGGGGGAGCUGCGGGACAGUUCCUAUAGCAAGAAGUUGUGUGUUUCGGUGAUACCACUCCUUUUUGGAUGGCCGGAAAGAGGUAACUGGGAGACCUGCGACUUCGACAAACACCGACUAAGUAUUCGUUCAAUUGCCCAGAUGUUAAAUUUAUCAAAAUCUGUGGUUCAUGACAUUGUGGCGGAGCACUUGAACAUGCGCAAGGUGUGUGCGAAGAUGGUCCCAAAAGCUUGGCAUCCCAAAGCUUCCACAGCCUCCCUACACCCCAGAUGUAGCCCCCGGACUUUUUUGUUUCCUUGCCUGAAAAGGCCUAUGAAAAGCAAGCAUUUUGACACAACAGAGGGAAUCCAAGCAGCAUGCACCUUGGCUCUCAAGGUUAUUCCGGAGAAUGCCUUCCGUGACGCCUUCAAUGCUUGGAAAGCCUAGUUUUUUAGUUUUUAAAAAAUUGCAACGAUUGGUUCAAUAAAUGUUUUUAAACCGA